GAUGAACGCUGGCGGCGUGCCUAAUACAUGCAAGUCGAGCGAACGGACGAGAAGCUUGCUUCUCUGAUGUUAGCGGCGGACGGGUGAGUAACACGUGGAUAACCUACCUAUAAGACUGGGAUAACUUCGGGAAACCGGAGCUAAUACCGGAUGAUAUUUUGAACCGCAUGGUUCAAAAGUGAAAGACGGUCUUUCUGUCACUUAUAGAUGGAUCCGCGCUGCAUUAGCUAGUUGGUAAGGUAACGGCUUACCAAGGCAACGAUGCAUAGCCGACCUGAGAGGGAGAAUGGACAAACUGGAACAGAGACACGGCCCCGACGCCUACGGGGGGAAGCAGUAGGGAAUCUUACGGAAUGGGGGAAAGCCUGACGGAGCAAAGCCGGCUGAGGGAUGAAGGUCCUAGGAUCGGAAAACUAUGUUAUUUGGGAAGAACCAAAGUGUAAGUAACUGUGCACAUCUUGACGGUACCUAAUCAGAAAGCCACGGCUAACUACGUG
Molecule: ribosomal RNA, 497 nt
Filed under: uncultured bacterium
Lineage: Bacteria
Description: partial 16S ribosomal RNA
Rfam family: Bacterial small subunit ribosomal RNA
Source: RNAcentral